Molecule: ribosomal RNA, 484 nt
Filed under: uncultured bacterium
Lineage: Bacteria
Description: partial 16S ribosomal RNA
Rfam family: Bacterial small subunit ribosomal RNA
Source: RNAcentral
AUUGAACGCUGGCGGCAGGCCUAACACAUGCAAGUCGAGCGGAUGAAGGGAGCUUGCUCCUGGAUUCAGCGGCGGACGGGUGAGUAAUGCCUAGGAAUCUGCCUGGUAGUGGGGUAUAACGUCCGGAAACGGGCGCUAAUACCGCAUACGUCCUGAGGGAGAAAGUGGGGGAUCUUCGGACCUCACGCUCUCAGAUGAGCCUAGGUCGGAUUAGCUAGUUGGUGGGGUAAAGGCCUACCAAGGCGACGAUCCGUAGCUGGUCUGAGAGGAUGAUCAGUCACACUGGAACUGAGACACGGUCCAGACUCCUACGGGAGGCAGCAGUGGGGAAUAUUGGACAAUGGGCGAAAGCCUGAUCCAGCCAUACCGCGUGUGUGAAGAAGGUCUUCGGAUUGUAAAGCACUUUAAGUGGGGAAGAAAGGCAGUAAGUUAAUACCUUGCUGUUUUGACGGUACCAAAAGAAUAAGCACCGGCUAACUUCGUG